Molecule: ribosomal RNA, 763 nt
Filed under: uncultured Streptococcus sp.
Lineage: Bacteria; Bacillati; Bacillota; Bacilli; Lactobacillales; Streptococcaceae
Description: bacterial SSU rRNA
Rfam family: Bacterial small subunit ribosomal RNA
Source: RNAcentral
GACGAACGCUGGCGGCGUGCCUAAUACAUGCAAGUAGAACGCUGAAGGAGGAGCUUGCUCUUCUGGAUGAGUUGCGAACGGGUGAGUAACGCGUAGGUAACCUGCCUGGUAGCGGGGGAUAACUAUUGGAAACGAUAGCUAAUACCGCAUAACAGUAGAUAUCGCAUGAUAGCUACUUGAAAGGUGCAAUUGCACCACUACCAGAUGGACCUGCGUUGUAUUAGCUAGUUGGUGAGGUAACGGCUCACCAAGGCAACGAUACAUAGCCGACCUGAGAGGGUGAUCGGCCACACUGGGACUGAGACACGGCCCAGACUCCUACGGGAGGCAGCAGUAGGGAAUCUUCGGCAAUGGGGGCAACCCUGACCGAGCAACGCCGCGUGAGUGAAGAAGGUUUUCGGAUCGUAAAGCUCUGUUGUAAGUCAAGAACGAGUGUGAGAGUGGAAAGUUCACACUGUGACGGUAGCUUACCAGAAAGGGACGGCUAACUACGUGCCAGCAGCCGCGGUAAUACGUAGGUCCCGAGCGUUGUCCGGAUUUAUUGGGCGUAAAGCGAGCGCAGGCGGUUUGAUAAGUCUGAAGUUAAAGGCUGUGGCUUAACCAUAGUACGCUUUGGAAACUGUUUAACUUGAGUGCAGAAGGGGAGAGUGGAAUUCCAUGUGUAGCGGUGAAAUGCGUAGAUAUAUGGAGGAGCACCGGUGGCGAAAGCGGCUCUCUGGUCUGUAACUGACGCUGAGGCUCGAAAGCGUGGGUAGCAAACAGG